RNAcentral lists this small nuclear RNA (208 nucleotides) under Heterocephalus glaber (naked mole-rat). RNAcentral describes it as "7SK RNA". The stretch from base 1 to 103 matches the Rfam family "7SK RNA", at positions 1 to 108 of the family's 331-position model. Lineage: Eukaryota; Metazoa; Chordata; Mammalia; Rodentia; Bathyergidae. The record is from Rfam by way of RNAcentral.
GGAUAUGAGGAUCACCUAGAUAGAACAUCUGUCAUUCCAUUGAUCACCAGGAUUGGUUCAGCUGAUCUGACUAAUAAGCAGGUGUCCUUUCCCCCAUUACCCUUUCUUUUUUAAAAAAAUUAUUUUUAUUGGUACAUUUCAGGUAUACAAUAUAAUGACAUUCAUCAUCAGAAAUUUGCACAUUUAUAUAAUCCAUCUUGGUUCUUAU